GGCUGGUUAGCUCAGCUGGUUAGAGCAUGGUGCUGGUAACACCAAGGACAAGGGUUCAAAUCCCUGUGCCAGCCA
Cynocephalus volans (Philippine flying lemur) is the source of this 75-nucleotide non-coding RNA. Lineage: Eukaryota; Metazoa; Chordata; Mammalia; Dermoptera; Cynocephalidae. The record is from the annotation of a RefSeq genome assembly.